GUGGCAUAUAUGAUAUAUAUUGUAUAUAGUUCAUGCUAUCGAUGGAGUUUAAGAAUAUUUUUACAUAAUUCACCUUUGCGGAGUGUGACAGGCUAGGCAAUAUUUUUUGUUUUUUUUUGUAUACACUAAUACACAUAUGUAUAAAUUCUAUAUAUAUAAAUUUUUUUGCCAAAAAUUUUGGGUAUUCAACUGAAUACCAAUGAAUACAGUUGUGCCUGCCACUGUGUGCAGUUUUAGAUGAGACUCCGAUCUUGGUUCAUGGUCUUGCUGUGUUGGUAUUGUAACGAUCUACUCGUGCUGGUCGGAAUUCUACCAUCCGAGUUAAGUGAUACAUGUAAACCUAGUCAUAGCGAGAUAGAGAUCAAUCAGAUUGAUCUAAUUGAACCCUAAGUCAAGUGCGAGGAGCUUAUGUGCGGUGGUAGUAGAUAGGAUCUACUGUCGGGCGUCGGAUUGCCGAGAAAAGUGUUGUUUGGUAAAACUGCCGUAACUUUUGAUCCGUAAUCGGAUCGAGACAAUCUCUAAAUGAAAAUCAUAGAGAAAAAAAUUUUUAUAUCUGAUUCUCCACCACGAAACCAUGUACGGUGAAAUUAGAAUUGUGAAAAAGGGCUAGGAAAAUAGAGCAUGACUGGUAUAGCCCUUAUGUGUGUGUGAUGCAUGUAUGUAAUAAAUUCAUGGAUUGCAUGUCAUGACAAUGACGAUAUGGCUAGAGCCACAUAGAUAUUGUCCAUCUGAUGUAAUGGCCUGCAUUCCAAUCUGUGAUGAUCCUACCCACGACUAUGUAAUUUUAAUUCAUUGCCUUGCGUUAGUGAUAGCUAGUCUUGGUGGAAUCAUUAUUGGAGGAUGGCAUACAUGGAUCAUGGAGAUGGAGAUCACCAUGAUGGACAGAUACAUGGAGAUGAAGAUCCCCAAAGUGCUAAUGGGCUAUACCGAGUCAUAUCUGUGUU
RNAcentral lists this long non-coding RNA (944 nucleotides) under Sorghum bicolor (sorghum). Its description in RNAcentral is "long non-coding RNA (SBIC_LNC009339)". Lineage: Eukaryota; Viridiplantae; Streptophyta; Magnoliopsida; Poales; Poaceae. The record is from RNAcentral.